This 286-nucleotide long non-coding RNA is filed under the name Solanum tuberosum (potato). RNAcentral describes it as "long non-coding RNA (STUB_LNC009800)". Lineage: Eukaryota; Viridiplantae; Streptophyta; Magnoliopsida; Solanales; Solanaceae. The record is from RNAcentral.
UCGGUCACGAUUAAACCAGUAAGGAUUCUUCGGGUUAUAUUUCAUUACUUCAUCAUACAAUAUAUGACCCAUUGGAGCACAUCCCAUGGGUAAACCCGGAUGACCGGAAUUAGCUUUUUCAACAGCAUCAAUAGCCAAAAAUCGAAUAGUGUUAACAGAUUUCUCAACAAUGGCUGCAUCAGUUUUCUCCAAAGUCUCUACAGCUGCGGAGGCACGAACAGAGAACUGUUGUUUAGUGACGGUAGUGGAAGGAAGAAUACGACGGUGGGAGGAAGUGAAAGGGGUG